This 806-nucleotide long non-coding RNA is filed under the name Homo sapiens (human). RNAcentral's name for it is "non-protein coding lnc-ZNF33B-4:10". Lineage: Eukaryota; Metazoa; Chordata; Mammalia; Primates; Hominidae. The record is from RNAcentral.
CAGCGUCACCCCGCUUGCUGUGUCCUCGCAGGUCGCAGCUUCAUGGCCUGAUGCCUUCAGGAAGUAUUUUGAAGUCAUCGUGGCUGUGGAUUGGGGGAUUUCUUGUUUCCACUGACCUGUGAGGCCGCGCACGUGGAGGGAGGCACCCCGGGUCCUCCGGCACUGUCCGGCCUCGCCUGUGUCCCUAGUAGCAGUGGGCAUUUCCAGACGGUGCAGCUUGUGGCUAAAGUGACAGGAAGAUGUAGGAGCUUUCAGUCUUGGAUGAGGAUUCGAACUGAAGGGCUUAGGCCCAGCUGUCUUGGAGCAAAACAUCUGUUGUGGGAUGUGGCGGCAGAGGAGGGCAAGGCCGAAGGAGCAGACAGCACCGCUUCUUGGGGAGUUGUGAAGGCAUCAUGCGGAGGGCCGAGCUUAGCAGCCAAGUGGAGGACAGCACCCUCCAUGCCUGGAUUCGUUACUCGCUCGUUCUCGAUGUUGAGCUGCUGGCAUAUUGCAGCACAACUAGAGAUGUACGGAUGCCCCCAUCUUGAUCUUACAGAAUCAGAGGUGCAGCCGCAAGAAAGCUACACCCUCUCGGUUUUCUCUGCUCUGCCAACACUAGUGGAAUAUGAUCACAUCCCAGGGAUCAGUGUCAUUUAGGGAUGUGACUAUGGGCUUCACUCAAGAGGAGUGGCAUCAUCUGGACCCUGCUCAGAGGACCCUGUAGAGGAAUGUGAUGCUGGAGAACUACAGCCACCUUGUCUCAGUAGGGUAUUGCAUUCCUAAACCAGAAGUGAUCCUCAAAUUGGAGACAGGCAAGGAGCCAUGGA